Austrofundulus limnaeus is the source of this 271-nucleotide long non-coding RNA. RefSeq lists it as uncharacterized. The transcript has 3 exons. The record is from RefSeq and is a predicted model, not a curated record. Lineage: Eukaryota; Metazoa; Chordata; Actinopteri; Cyprinodontiformes; Rivulidae.
CUGGAGGUCAGUGGGAUGAAGAAACUUUAAAGACUCUGACUGAGUUUGUUCCACAGUUGAGCGUGUCUGGAAUCAUCCAAUUAGACGGCUGCUGCUCAUCUGUGGACGGUGUGGUGGUCCUGACGGCGCUGCUGUCCGACUGUCCCUCUGUGGCAGAACUCACCAUCAGGCUGCAGAGUCCGGUUCUGGUGUCGGUUCUGUUUCCUGCAGGCAGACAGAAAACUGCACCUGAAACGUCUAAAAAACUCUGGUUUGUUUUGAUUUAUUUUCA